Molecule: long non-coding RNA, 750 nt
Filed under: Oryza sativa tropical japonica subgroup
Lineage: Eukaryota; Viridiplantae; Streptophyta; Magnoliopsida; Poales; Poaceae
Description: lncRNA OsKeNa_10g0008300
Source: RNAcentral
UCGUAUCGACCCAGCCCAAUUGAUCCCACCACCCAGUCGGCAGCAGACAGAGAAGGAAAAAAAAAGGUAGCCACCAACCCACCGAUUCCCCCGAUUCCCCGUUCUCUCGAGCGCCUCGUCGCCUCCGACGGCGCUGCCAUUCCUCUUUCGUCUCGAGCUCACGCACGCGGCUCACGUCGCUCGCCGUCGACGCUUCCCGGCGAGGCCAUCCGCGGCCGCCGUCGCUUCUUCCCGGAGCCGCGCCGCCAACCCACCCCGUCUCCACACCCCCGCGUGGCACCCUGUCUUGCCCUCUCUCUAGGCUUAUUUCCAUUCUUGAUUCCCCCGAUUCCCCGUUCUCUCGAGCGCCUCGUCGCCUCCGACGGCGCCACCUCUUUCGUCUCGAGCUCACGCACGCGGCUCACGUCGCUCGCCGUCGACGCUUCCCGGCGAGGCCAUCCGUGGCCGCCGUUGCUUCUUCCCGGAGCCGCGCCGCCAACCCACCCCGUCUCCACACCCCCGCGCGGCACCCUGUCUUGCCCUCUUUCUCUAGGGUUUUCUCUGAACCCAAAUCGCUGUAAGUCCUCAACGACUUCUCUGGUUGUUUUGCUUGGAGCUCUAGCUCACUUCUUUGGUUCUCACUGCUACCCGAUUUUCGUCGCCCAGAUUCUGCCAUGGCUGCUCAAUCACAUGUCCAGGAUGGCAUCAGUAUGCACACCCAGCCUUAGAAGCAGCGCCAUUUGUUUAGAACCUCUGCAUUAUAGCCACUAA